CACGUGGGUAACCUGCCCAAGAGAUCGGGAUAACACCUGGAAACAGAUGCUAAUACCGGAUAACAACAGAUGAUACCUAUCAACUGUUUAAAAGAUGGUUCUGCUAUCACUCUUGGAUGGACCUGCGGUGCAUUAGCUAGUUGGUAGGGUAACGGCCUACCAAGGCGAUGAUGCAUAGCCGAGUUGAGAGACUGAUCGGCCACAUUGGGACUGAGACACGGCCCAAACUCCUACGGGAGGCAGCAGCC
This 248-nucleotide ribosomal RNA is filed under the name uncultured Lactobacillus sp. RNAcentral describes it as "partial 16S ribosomal RNA". It matches the Rfam family "Bacterial small subunit ribosomal RNA", at positions 114 to 355 of the family's 1533-position model. Lineage: Bacteria; Bacillati; Bacillota; Bacilli; Lactobacillales; Lactobacillaceae. The record is from RNAcentral.